AACGAACGCUGGCGGCGUGCCUAACACAUGCAAGUCGAACGAUGUAUUUAUCGUAGCAAUACGGUGGAUGCAUAGUGGCGCACGGGUGAGUAACACGUGAGUGAUCUGCCUCCAAGAUCGGGAUAACCUGCCGAAAGGCGAGCUAAUACCGGAUGAGGCCACAGUACCUUAGCGGUACAGGGGUUAAAGGUGGCGCAAGCUACCCCUUGGAGGUGAGCUCGCGGCCCAUCAGCUAGUUGGUAGGGUAAUGGCCUACCAAGGCGAUAACGGGUAGCUGGUCUGAGAGGACGACCAGCCACACUGGAACUGAGACACGGUCCAGACUCCUACGGGAGGCAGCAGAGGGGAAUAUUGCGCAAUGGGGGAAACCCUGACGCAGCAACGCCGCGUGGGUGAUGAAGGCCUUCGGGUCGUAAAGCCCUGUCAGCGGGGAAGAAACUCCGGGAUUCGAAUAGGGUCUCGGAUUGACGGUACCCGCGGAGGAAGCACCGGCUAACUCCGUGCCAGCAGCCGCCGUAA
RNAcentral lists this ribosomal RNA (519 nucleotides) under uncultured bacterium. Its description in RNAcentral is "partial 16S ribosomal RNA". It matches the Rfam family "Bacterial small subunit ribosomal RNA", at positions 29 to 523 of the family's 1533-position model. The record is from RNAcentral.